RNAcentral lists this unclassified non-coding RNA (249 nucleotides) under uncultured fungus. Its description in RNAcentral is "sequence contains ITS1". The record is from RNAcentral. Lineage: Eukaryota; Fungi.
GUAACGAUUGUUUGUAUCAGAACAGGUAAUGCUACAUGCAAAAAAGGUUUUUUAUAGUUCCGACGGCAGAAUAAGUCGCCACCGAAGGAGAAGGAAAAAAGGUACUCGUAUAAAAAGGGAUUCGGUUAAUGUGGAGCGCGUGAGAGUUGCCUCUACCGCCAGGAAUACGCGGCGUACCAGGCUACCUGAGGGGCCGCAACCACACCGAUUGGAUAGAUAAUGAUCCUUCCGCAGGUUCACCUACGGAAA